GUUAGGAAUAUUCGUCAAUGGGGGAAACCCUGAACGAGCAAUGCCGCGUGAGUGAUGAAGGUCUACAUGAUUGUAAAACUCUGUUGCGAGGGAAGAACGAUUACUAUAGGUAAUGAUAGUAAUGUGACGGUACCUCGUCAGAAAGCUCCGGCUAACUACGUGCCAGCAGCCGCGGUAAUACGUAGGGAGCGAGCGUUAUCCGGAUUUAUUGGGCGUAAAGAGUUCGUAGGCGGUUUGUCUAGUCUAAAAUCUAAGUACGGGGCUUAACUCCGUUUCGUUUUAGAAACUGGCAGACUUGAGUGUGGUAGAGGCAAGUGGAAUUUCUAGUGUAGCGGUUAAAUGCGUAGAUAUUAGAAGGAACACCAGUGGCGAAGGCGACUUGCUGGGCCAUUACUGACGCUGAGGAACGAAAGCGUGGGGAGCAAAUAGGA
RNAcentral lists this ribosomal RNA (431 nucleotides) under uncultured bacterium. Its description in RNAcentral is "bacterial SSU rRNA". It matches the Rfam family "Bacterial small subunit ribosomal RNA", at positions 354 to 777 of the family's 1533-position model. The record is from RNAcentral.